GAUGAACGCUGGCGGCGUGCCUAAUACAUGCAAGUCGAGCGAACAGAUGAGAAGCUUGCUUCUCUGAUGUUAGCGGCGGACGGGUGAGUAACACGUGGAUAACCUACCUAUAAGACUGGGAUAACUUCGGGAAACCGGAGCUAAUACCGGAUAAUAUUUUGAACCGCAUGGUUCAAUAGUGAAAGACGGUCUUGCUGUCACUUAUAGAUGGAUCCGCGCUGCAUUAGCUAGUUGGUAAGGUAACGGCUUACCAAGGCAACGAUGCAUAGCCGACCUGAGAGGGUGAUCGGCCACACUGGAACUGAGACACGGUCCAGACUCCUACGGGAGGCAGCAGUAGGGAAUCUUCCGCAAUGGGCGAAAGCCUGACGGAGCAACGCCGCGUGAGUGAUGAAGGUCUUCGGAUCGUAAAACUCUGUUAUUAGGGAAGAACAUAUGUGUAAGUAACUGUGCACAUCUUGACGGUACCUAAUCAGAAAGCCACGGCUAACUACGUG
Molecule: ribosomal RNA, 497 nt
Filed under: uncultured bacterium
Lineage: Bacteria
Description: partial 16S ribosomal RNA
Rfam family: Bacterial small subunit ribosomal RNA
Source: RNAcentral